RNAcentral lists this long non-coding RNA (610 nucleotides) under Phaseolus vulgaris (common bean). RNAcentral describes it as "long non-coding RNA (PVUL_LNC004420)". Lineage: Eukaryota; Viridiplantae; Streptophyta; Magnoliopsida; Fabales; Fabaceae. The record is from RNAcentral.
CCCGACAUGUUACACGCAAAACUGGAACGAGAACACUGACACGUGUGACUUCAGAGGGGUACGAUGUGCCUCAUAUCCAAACUCAGAAGAGCGAGCAGUUGCAGGACUGGACUUAAAUGGAGCAAGAGUGACGGGUCAAAACGGGUGCCCUUUGCCCGUCUCAUCUCUCUUGGGCGUGAACCAAAUACCCGAGUUAACAUUCUUCCACGUCAACUCUAACAGCUUCGCCGGCUCGGUCCCCACGGAUAUCACCAAAUUCCCCUUCUUCUUCGAGCUCGAUCUCAGUAACAACAAAAUCAAAGGCCAGUUUCCCAUCGACGCGAUUACGUCAAAAGUGCUAGUCUUCCUUGACCUCCGCUUCAAUCAACUCACCGGCCCAAUUCCCCCCCAACUCUUCCUGAAGGAUCUCGACGUCAUCUUCAUCAACAACAACCAAUUCACACAGUGUCUCCCCCAGAAUUUCGGCUACACACCGGCCCGCUACCUCACUUUCGCCAACAACAACCUCACCGGCCCCAUUCCAAAGAGCGUCGGUUACGCACCCAACCUUACCGAAGUUCUCUUCCUCGGGAACAAGUUUGACGGCUGCUUGCCCGUUGAAAUUGGAAAC